UAAUACGUAGGUGGCAAGCGUUGUCCGGAUUUACUGGGCGUAAAGCGCGCGCAGGCGGGUUGGUCAGUCUGGGGUGAAAUCUCACGGCUCAACUGUGAGAGGUCCCUGGAUACUGCCAGCCUUGAGGGGCUCAGAGGAGUGUGGAAUUCCGGGUGUAGUGGUGGAAUGCGUAGAUAUCCGGAGGAACACCAGUGGCGAAAGCGGCACUCUGGGGGCAACCUGACGCUGAGGCGCGAAAGCGUGGGGAGCGAACCGG
Molecule: ribosomal RNA, 256 nt
Filed under: uncultured bacterium
Lineage: Bacteria
Description: partial 16S ribosomal RNA
Rfam family: Bacterial small subunit ribosomal RNA
Source: RNAcentral